RNAcentral lists this ribosomal RNA (253 nucleotides) under uncultured bacterium. RNAcentral describes it as "partial 16S ribosomal RNA". It matches the Rfam family "Bacterial small subunit ribosomal RNA", at positions 524 to 776 of the family's 1533-position model. The record is from RNAcentral.
UACGGGGGGGGCGAGCGUUGUUCGGAAUUACUGGGCGUAAAGGGCUCGUAGGCGGCCAACUAAGUCGGAUGUGAAAUCCCCAGGCUUAACCUGGGAACUGCAUCCGAUACUGGAUGGCUUGAAUUCGGGAGAGGGAUGCAGAAUUCCAGGUGUAGCGGUGAAAUGCGUAGAUAUCUGGAGGAAUACCGGUGGCGAAGGCGGCAUCCUGGACCGACAUUGACGCUGAGGAGCGAAAGCUAGGGGAGCAAACGGG